Sceloporus undulatus (fence lizard) is the source of this 4190-nucleotide long non-coding RNA. RefSeq lists it as uncharacterized. The transcript is spliced from 4 exons. The record is from RefSeq and is a predicted model, not a curated record. NCBI's taxonomy places the organism in Eukaryota, Metazoa, Chordata, Lepidosauria, Squamata, Phrynosomatidae.
GCGCCUCUCCCCCCGUCGCCCCACGGCUUUGAAAAGGUUGCCCAUGUCAAAAAAUCUCAAUCUUGAACACUGAGCAUAAAAGACAAGAAGGGACCCAGACUUUUAAGUAAAUGGAUCCAAUGUAUGCCUCACCACUAGAAAACCCAGUCUGAAAUCUGGACUCUGUGUUAUUUUGUUGAUACAGUCAGAGUGCAUCAUGUUUCAAUCUUGGAACCAAAACUCCAGUUAGAAACACCUGUAAAACAGAAGGAAGAGAAAGGGAAGAGGAGGGAGAGGGAGAUGAAGAAGGAGAAGAAGAAGAGGAAGGAGGAAGAGGAGAAGGGAGGAAAUUAAGAGAAGACAACCAAGAUGUUCAAAUCUCUGGAAACCAAGCCUUCUAAGAAAUGACUUAGGGAGCUGGAUAUGUUUCGCUUGGAAAUGAGAAAACUGAAGGCAUGUCAUGUAGAAGACGGAGCAAGCUAGUUUUCUGCUUCUCCACAGAAUAGAUUGGGAACCAGCAGAUUCAAAUGACAAGACGAGAGAUUCCACCUUAAACAUUAGGAAGAACAUCUUUAAUGAAAGAGCUUUUUGCGUUUAUUUACAAAAAAUAAUAAAUUAUUUAAUUUGGCAAGUCCAGAGGGGUGUUUUUAGGCAUAGACCCUAGGCAAAACUGAGGCUUGGAAAUACAUCAUUUUGCUGGUGCAUCAGGCAAGAAAAUCUGCACGGACCGCCACCUUCUUGCUUCCAUGAAUCAAUCAAGAAUCGGUCCGAUCUGUUGCAAAUCCCCUAUAGAUCUACCAGUUGAUCUUGCAUAACAGUCUGAUCCUAACAGCAUUGGACAAUGGGUGCCUGUUGGCAAACUGGUGAUGCCAUUCUUUGUUUCUUUUCCCUCCCUCCGUACCCGGUGCAAAUUAAGUCCACGCCAACCCAGAAGGAGAGCAGUGAGCUACUCUCACUAUUCAUCACCAAACGGAAGCAUCGUUGGACAGAUCUACAAGUCUCUGAUAGUACCAGCCGGAGACAUGGAGCAAAGAUUUGGGAGUGGUCGGGAAAAGAAUCACCCGACCCAAACGCCCGAGAAGAAGGUGAAUAAUGAAGAAGAGAUGGUGGGAGCCAUAACUGCCUUUCCCUCUUUCUCUCCCUCCCCUCCAUUAAUGCCACCACAAAUUAAAUGCCGUGAAUGCAAAUGCUUCGAGAGCCGAGUGCGGGAUGUUGCUGACUCUAUAAUGGCCGUCAUAUCUGCCUUCACUCCGUCACUCCGCUGCAGGUAAUUAAUUGCCUUGUAAAGUGCUCUAAGAUACAGUGCAUGAAAAAUGUGAGACGGAGGGGAGGAGGACGUACAAUACAGCCGCCGGGAGUUAAAGGAACCCAACGCCGAGGCAGAGACAGUGUGUCCUAACGUGGAAAGCCAUGAAGCCCACUCCCAAAUUGCACAAGCUUCACCUAUCCAUUAGCAAAGACCCUCCUUCUUUCCCUGAUCACCCAAACAUGGUCUUUAAGGUUCAUAUGAUUUCAGUAGCCUUCCUGUAAUUUCAGUGUCACCUCUUUAUUUAUAACGUUUGACAAGGGAGGAAUUAUAACAAAAUAAACGUAAUUUAUGAGCCCUUCCAGGAAGAGAGAUCAAAACGGAAGAAGGGUUUUGCGCCGCUACAAAGGUGUCACUUUGAUCCUGGAGGAAAAGAAGAGGAAGAAGGAAAGAAAGAAAGAAAGAAAGAAAGAAAGAAAGAAAGAAGAAAUCGCCUAUGGACACCAUUAAUGCCUGUGACAGUAUAGCUAAUAGAUCUCCAGAGAAAUAUAAUUGCUUUCUAGCCACUCUUUGGUUCAGAAUACAGUACAAUCUCCGUUUCUGCGAGACUGGUACCCCCAUGGUUUCAUUUACUCAUGUCUGCAAAAAUCUCUUUAAGCAUUUUCUAGGUUUUCCAGCAUGAUGUUAUGGUAUGUGUCCAGUAGAAGCUAACCACAGAGUUGUGCUAGAGGACCUAGAAAUGCCCAGAGAGGUGUUUGCUCUAGAAAUCUCUAGGUCCUCCAUGCAACUCCAUGGUCAACUUCUUCUAGACGUCAUUCAUUUCUAUAGGCUUCAGUGUUAUCUGUGGUUUCGCAUUUUCAUGGUAAGUCCAGGAAUGUAUCCCCCAUGAAUAUGUGGAUCAUACUGUACUUGCAAAUGAUUUCAUCUUCAGUGACCAAAGGUCUCCUGACACACUAAAAACAAAGAGCAACCACCAUCUUUUUUUGUCAUUCAUGACUUACUGGGGGGGACAACAUUUUUGUUCAAAGAUCCUGCAUCAUAGGCUACCAUGUGUAACAUUACAUUGACAGUGCUAUGUUGCUGAGAUGCUACACAACUACGCUAGUGAAUUCCAAUAAUAAAGAGGUCCCAUUUCACAAUGGGCCACAGUAGCUUCCACAAUGAUUCCAAGAGAUGGAAAAUUCUAUUCUUAAAAUGGGAAAUGCAAUGGCCUCCCAUUUCUGACAAUAGGAAACACAGUGACCAUCCGUUCCUAAUGUUGCCAGGUUUGGAAAAGAUCUGCCAUUUCAUUUGUACUGGAAAUGAAGACAUAUCCAUGCCAGCUGCUGGGAGACACUCGCUGCCUGUUCCUUAUUCAUAUCUAUCAUCCAGUGUUGACUUGUUAUUGCAAAUCUCAGCAGCCUCUAUCACCGUUUUUAGUAGGCCUUUAUUUCAUCACAGCAUAUUGAGAUUGCCUCCUGCAAUUACAGCUUUUGUAUCGGAACUGAUGGGAUCAUCCUUUCACUUAAAAAGAAAUCUCUCUUGCUUUAUUGGCAUUCCAGAUCCUAGUGCAUUCAUUGGGAUUGUGCCAAAGAAAGGGCAUCAGCACCUGCCUUGGGAGAAAGCAGCAACCCUUCCUCUUCCACAUCUGAGGAAGAACCAUGUGCAGUUCAACAGUUUGCAUAGGAAGACUGCAUUUUAUCCGUUCUUGAAACAGCUACGCUUGACGCAUGUUCAUAUGAGGACAUGUAAGGUAGCCUUCUUGUUGACAGUAGACUAGAGAUAGAACCAUCUGUUGAUUUUGUGUAAAGCAUUAAAAAAAAUCUCAGGUUCUUUCCAAUCUGUUUAUGAAGAACUUUGUUGAAGUUGCCUUUGCAUCAUUUCCAGCAUGUGACAAACUGAAGGCAACCCUAUCACAAUCUUUACUUUCAGCUCUGAUCCUGCUGAAGCAAUUCCUUUCUAAUGCAAAGGGAUAUUGCUGCACCUUGGAGACAACUUGUGCAAAAGAAGUUGUAGCAUAAGCUUGCGUAGACUUGAUCUACUUCCCCGGAUGCAUGCAUGGAUGAUGUCCUACCUGGAUCAUGGAGACAAAAAUUGUAGAAAGGAGAGGAAAGUAUCUCCGUUUUGGUCUGUCUUUCUCUUUAUUUGUCCAAAGUGUUGGAUUGCAAUCCAUUUUAUCACUAGGCAGGCCUUGGCUGCAUAUGCAUUGCAGAAAUAAUCCAAUUUAACUGCCAGGGCUCAAUGUUAUGACAUUCUGGGAAUUUCAAUUUUGCAAGACGUUUAGCUUUCCCUGUUAGAGAGCUCUGGUUCCACUACAAACUGCAGUUCCCAGAAUCCCGCAGCAUUGAGCCAGAGCACUUAAAGUGUGGUCCAAUUUGAUUCUUUCUGGACUGUGGAUGCAGCUUCAGUGAUAUGCAAAAGGGGCCUUAUCACACCUCCUUAUUGCCAAUGAACUAAAAAUACAACCCAUGGAAGAAAGGGUGUCACGUGCCUUCAGAGCGAUCUGUGUUUGUUUCAUGCAUUUGGUAAAAAAAAAAGGGGGGGGAUUUGGAAAGACUUAGGCCCUUUAAGGGUAAAAAGGAAAGCUGACCUUGGCAUACACGGGGGUGACUUUCUAAACUCUGCACCAUCUGGGCUUUGAGAGCAAAGGGGGGACGGUCUGUUUGUAGCACCUGCAACAAUGCUGUUGAGGGACCAAAAAAACCAAACGGGUAAUGAGAAACAGCUGCCUGAAACCCAAAAUUAAAUCAAAGCUUCGAGAUCGGGGACGUCUCAUCAUUUCUGCCUCUUGUCUUCCCCGUAACGUAACCAGUUAUUUUCAGCAUCCGGGAUGGGCUGGCAAGACAUGGCCCCCUCUCCGAAACCAACACUGGCACGUAUUGAAAUGCGCACAAUGUCUAAACUGUGCCAGGGUUGUACAGUGGUUUGUGUUUUGAGGUAGGGGUACAUAUGCACUGUAGAAAUAAUGCAGUUUGAUGCCACUUUA